AGCGAACGCUGGCGGCAGGCCUAACACAUGCAAGUCGAACGAACCUUUCGGGGUUAGUGGCGGACGGGUGGGUAACACGUGGGAACGUGCCCUUAGGUUCGGAAUAACUCAGGGAAAGUUGUGCUAAUACCGAAUGUGCCCUUCGGGGGAAAGAUUACUCGCCUUUAGAGCGGCCCGCGUCUGAUUAGCUGGUUGGUUGAGGUAAUGGCUCACCACGGCGACGAUCAGUAGCUGGUCUGAGAGGAUGAUCAGCCACAUUGGGACUGAGACACGGCCCAAACUCCUACGGGAGGCAGCAGUGGGGAAUAUUGCGCAAUGGGCGAAAGCCUGACGCAGCCAUGCCGCGUGAAUGAUGAAGGUCUUAGGAUUGUAAAAUUCUUUCACCGGGGACGAUAAUGACGGUACCCGGAGAAGAAGCCCCGGCUAACUUCGUG
Molecule: ribosomal RNA, 434 nt
Filed under: uncultured bacterium
Lineage: Bacteria
Description: partial 16S ribosomal RNA
Rfam family: Bacterial small subunit ribosomal RNA
Source: RNAcentral